ACACGAGGCAGCAAAUCCGAACAGGCAAAGGCCUCACUCUCCAGUGCAGUCUGGGAGGACUGAUCAGGGAAGAACAGAUCAGGGUGAAGAACAGAAAGACCCCAAGGCAUCUCCCCAAGAUGACCACAGUUGUCCCUGAAGAAGCAGUCACAGCAAGCUCACUUCACAGGAACCAAGCUGUGGGCUGAUCCUACAGACUUGAAAAGACAACUCAAAAAGAUUGUCUGUGGGGUCAGAAACAGCUCUGGAGGGGUCUGCAGAAAUUACUUUCCCAAGUCUUUGGGCUGGAAGGAACGAACAGUGCCUGACCAAGGACUUUGAGCAGGAGAGAGAUGGGAGCAGAGAGGAGCCAAGGUCUACUAUUUUCACUUCUGUCAAUUAGAUCAAAGCCCUGCCCAGAAGCUUUGAGCGCCGCUGUCAAGUCCCAUUCCUCCCCUAAACCAUCCAGGUUCCAUCUGCCUUGAAGCCAAAGGAUCUUCUUAGAUUCCUCAAGAAAAAUUCAGGCCCCGAGUUUCUCCACCAGCACUCUCCUCUCCCCGAAGGAGUGGGUGGGCUGCAUUUCUCUUCAUAUUCUAUUCCAUUCCAGACCGUCUUGGACUACCAGCCUGUCCGCCACCCCUCGGGGCCCUCCCUCCUACUCUGCCCUUGCCCGCUGAGGUCCCAAGCUGAGGAGAUGAGCCGAGCAGUAAAAAGAGAGGAGGUUUGGAAAAGCAAUGUCCUCUCAGUCUUUAAUAGGUGGCCCCCCUGGGAACCUGCUGGAAGUGGAAGUUAAUAAGCUGAAGGUGGUCACAACCAAUCUCUGCCACACUCGCACCCUACCCCACCCCAAAUCAUUCCUUUUAAUUAAUAGUGGAAGACCUUUUUAAAAAUGUAACAUGAAUUGGCUAUUUCUUGAGGCAAACAAAAGGUGGCUCUGAAGCGAUAUAUUUGUACUCGUAUAAAUUCAUUAAAAUAGAAAGCUUAUAACCAUCCAGGUUUCACUGACAGCCCCAGUCCAUCUACAUGCAGAAAUGGUCCCUCCAAAGCCCUCUACGACAAUUAUUCUCACAGAUCGUCAUGAUAAACUGUAAGGGAAUAUACUAAGAAAGAGGGAAGAAGAGAGGAGGAGUCCAUUUUUAAUUAGUGGUUGGAAAUAGAGUAAAAAUUAGAGGGCCUUAGGUUUAAAACACAGAUGUGCAUUGUGAUCGUCUGAAGGAAGAGCUGUUGACAGAGAAAACAAGGUGGUGAACUAUGCCCUUGGCCUGUGACAGUUAGGUGAGGGUUGCUCACCGCAGAAGACAGACCGGUAGAGCCCAGCAGGAAAGAGGGUAUCAGGCUGGAAGAAGUGCAGUUUGGCCCUGGCGGAGUGGUGGAGUGGCUGGAGCGACUGCAGGAGGAGGAUAGAUCUGGAAGCAGGUCUGGGCUAUACUUUGGCCUCAGCCAGGGAGCCAGAGAAGGAAGGCUUGGGUUCGAGGGGGGAAAUCAUUCUCCCAAAUUGCUUUCUCAGAAGCGCCAAUUCAGAUCACCUGAAGACAGGGUCUGGGCCCCAUUACAGCAUGGUUCCCAAAUGGGAGUGUGCUUGGAAGCCUUGGUGAUUAAAGGGUGCUGACUAAAAGAGUCAAACUCUGUAAAAUAUUUGAAGAGAUUUAUUCUGAGCCAAAUAUGAGUGACCAUGGCCCAUGACACAGCCCUCAGGAGACCCUGAGAACAUGUGUUCAAGGUGGUCGGGGUACAGCUUGGUUUUAUAUGUUUUAGGAAGGCAUGAGACUCAAUCAAAGACAUUUUAAAAAUACAUUGGUUUGGUUCAGAAAGGUGAGACAACUCAAAGUGGGGGCUUCCAGGCUAUAGGUAAAUUUAAACAUUUUCUGACUGACAAUUGGUUGGGUUUAUCUGGAGACCUGGGAUUAAUGGAAAGGAAGGUUCAUGUUAAGAUACAGAACUGUGGGGACCAAGUUUUAUUGUGCAGAGGAAUCUCUCAGAUAGCAGACUUCAGAGAGAGAGAGAGCAGGUUGUAAAAUGUUUCUUAUCGGACCUAAAAGGGUACCUGGCUCUUAGUUGAUUAUCUCCUGGAUCUGGGAAGGAAGGAAGGAAAACAAAGGGGAAAGGAAAUAUUUCCUAUAGAAUAUGGAUUUUUCCCACAAGAGACUUUGCAGGACAAUUUCGAGAUAUGGCAAGGAGAUUUAUUUUGGGGUAAAACAUUUUGAUUUUCUUCCUUGUUAUGCCACAGUCAGAUUGGAAAGUCAGUCAUGAUAUACAGGGUCAGAUAAAAUCCGUCUGAUGAGAAUGUAUGGUUGGUAGGGCAUGACUCCCCAGACCCCUUAGAUAGGAAUCUGGGCAAGAUAAAAAAUCGGAGCUUAGUCCUCAAGGGAAGGGGCAGCAGCGCUGUUGGCGGGCUCACCAAGCAUCAGUACUGGAUCACCAGGCUUGGGAGAGUAGGGGUGUCAAGGCCCCAAGAGCAGGGAGGGCCUUGGCCCCACUAGGGGGGCAUCAGAAAGCAGGGAGCACUUGUAGUUCACCAUGAUUCCCCUCAAAGCCCUGGGCCAGCCUCCUGCAGGGAAGGCGGGCAGGAAGUCUUCCCCAUAGGGGCAGGCUUGCUUUUUUGGCCAGCCAUCCUCUUCAUAUGAAAAACAGCAUCUUGUCAUUUCUAGAUGUUUCUACUUUGGUUGACUCUUUAAUUUUUCUGCAGUUAAAAGCCUUAAAACAGCAAGGAAGCAGGGGACAGGAGGGGAGCCCAGAUCUCUCCCAAAGAAAAGGAGAAAGACUGAAUCCUUGAGGCCUGCCGUACAAAGGAGUGGUGGGUUGGAGGAGGGUAGGCAGAGACUAGGGUGGUCUGGGACUUUAAGUACAAGGCCCCGUGGAUUUCAUUGGGGGGCAAGCCAUGUGCAACAGGGAAGCUCAGGAACCGGGGGGUUUCGCACAGAGGUCUGGUGCUGUGAGGUACAGGGAAAGAAUUAGUGGAUCUGGACCAGUGGAACAUUGGUUUAGUGUAAUCUCUGAUUUGUGUUGAGUGAAUUUGAGUAUAGUCCAACCACCACCCCCCUACCCCAACUAAACCAUGUGCCCCUCAGGAGCUGGGACUCUUCUAUUUUCUAUUCCUUAUAGCAGGCUCAGUGCCUGACACACUACGUUGAAUUUUAUUUUAAACAUUUCAUUUACAUUAAAUGGUAUAUUUGCAAGUUCAUUCUUCCAGACCUCAGUUUAUUCUUUUAUCUAGUCAUUUUAAAGGGAUUCUCUCAGACCCUCCACUAGCUAAGAGAACCGAACUUUUCUUCCAGAAUUGUCAGGAAAUGGGACUUACUGACUUAGUGAGCUACUUAUUUUAUCUAGAAUUAACUGUGUCUAAUAAAAUAUAUAUGCACUUUGGGAAUGGAUGAGGUGCUACACAAAUGAAAGAUGGUAUUAUUCAUCAUACAGUGUUUUUGAUUAUAAUAGAUUAUUCUCUGCCAAAACCCAGAAGGGCCAAGUCGAGGUAGGUUGCUGAAAGGGGAGGAAGUCUAAAUAGCAGAAUCAGACUUUUCCAUAAGUUUGCAGUGGCGUAUGGACAACACUCAGGCAACCAGCCCUCGGCACAGCAACAGGGGACCCACCUCCUAAGUUGGGGCUGAGUAAAGACAUAUUCCCGGGGCAAGGCUUUGCCAAGGCAGGCCUCUUCUGAAACAUAAGUCCCAUCUUUCUCCCGGCCCCGCCACCCCACCUCAGAUGUGCUGUCUAGAAGCUGCACAUCUGGGGCCGUUCAAACUCCUGGCUCGAAUCACUGGAAUCAUCUGAGCAGGAUAAUUUUACAUUAAUGAUUAAAAAUUGCUCUUCUAGAUAUAGCCUUGCCUCAGGGUAGCCAUUAAGAACAUUACUUCGUAAUUUAAGAAGCUCAAUGUAGGGCGCUUUGGGCAUUUGCAAAGAGGGAACUGUACUCAUAUCUUGAUAAAUUGCAAAAUGUCUCCCACCAUCUUCUUGUUCUGUAUCUCCUCUUCUGCCUUCUGCCAUUGCACUCUCUGGCAUAUAAUCCUUUUAAAGAAUAAGAACAAAAACAAAAAAAAAAGGAAGAUAAUGAAAAGCCUAUUGUUUCUUAGUGUCCGCUGAUGUUAAACACGCACACGCAUGCACAAUUAUGAAUUUUGUGUAUUUCUUCCGGGGGAUGGAGCCAUAAAGGGUUACACUUUGGUAUGUGAUUUUGGAGCCUACACUUGAAAUGGGAAUUUGAAUGUAGUUGAACAGACUUUUAACAUUGCCCCGAGAAGAAUGAUACUGGCAUUUGCUUGUCUGCGGUGUCACACCCCGGAGUGUGGAGGAUCCUCACCGGCUCUGUGACUCACCCUGGAAGUUGCACCUUUCUCGGGGGGCAGGGUGGGGAGUUACUUUUUAUAAGUAAACCCCAGAGAGCAGUGUUUCCGUAUCAAUCAGUUUCUCAACAAGUUUGAGAGCAGAUUGUGCCUCAAUCCCUAUCGUUGGGGAUGCUCUCCAAGCUCUCCGGGGUGCCGCCAAGCCAGGAUCUCCCAUUCUGAUGCAUCCUGGGUCUCCUCUUCCCUUGCCCCUCUUCCUUGUUCUCCACUCUGAGCCAGCUAGACAGGUGAAGCAGAGAACCUGUCUAGUCCAAACUCCUUAUUUUACAGAUCAGGAGCGUGAGGCCCAGAGAGGGAUUGCCCUUACCCCAUCCUGCAUCCCCUCUCCUCCUCUUCUGCCUUCACCCCAAUACCUUCCAGCGUGAAUGAUGCCCACCCUGUCUCUCUUCUAGCCCCGCAUCCUGCAUUACUCUUUUCACAAUAUUUUUGAGUAAGUGGCCUGCUGCAAUCUUAUAUUUGGCAUGGCAAAGGCAGACCCCUUUCCCUCCCUCCAGACCCCCAGCUCAGCCACUGUGAGUGCUGUAAGGCCAGUCCCCACCUGUGUCCUUCUAUUCAUCACAAACUAAGCACAUGCUACUUUAUCUUUUAUCUCCUCGUGUCCACAAAACAGGCCACAACCAAGGUCAUGCUGCCAAACAGAUCUGGGAGAAUGGUAAUUGACAAUUCACGCUAAAAAUUGUGUUGAACAAAAAUUCUCUUCUAUUAGAAAAAUGACAGGAGAGACAACUUUGCCAUUAUGUUGCUUUCUCCUCAAUCGGGACACACAAAAAAUCUCAAUAAAAAUGUUAUAUCAAAGGCUCGCAAACAUCAUUCAAAUCUUCCCUAACCCAUUGCUUUCAUUUGAAAAACGAGCAUUUCAUUAAAGACACUUGACAGGAUGUUAAUUUGUUGUGGGAAUCUGUCAGUGUCCAAACAAAUACUUGCAUGUUUUGUGCAGAUGAGGUAACCGCUUGUAGAAUGGCAAAACCAGAAGGCAUUUGGGUGACCUGCUUUGGCCUUUUGACUUUACAG
RNAcentral lists this long non-coding RNA (5327 nucleotides) under Homo sapiens (human). Its description in RNAcentral is "HSALNT0333855". Lineage: Eukaryota; Metazoa; Chordata; Mammalia; Primates; Hominidae. The record is from RNAcentral.